Molecule: ribosomal RNA, 571 nt
Filed under: uncultured archaeon
Lineage: Archaea
Description: bacterial SSU rRNA
Rfam family: Archaeal small subunit ribosomal RNA
Source: RNAcentral
ACACGUGGACAACCUAACCUAUGGAGGGGGAUAACCCCGGGAAACUGGGGAUAAUACCCCAUAGACUAUAAAUGCUGGAAUGCUUUGUAGUUGAAAGGUCCGCCGCCAUAGGAUGGGUCUGCGGCCGAUUAGGUUGUUGUUGGGGUAACGGCCCAACAAGCCUGUAAUCGGUACGGGUUGUGGGAGCAAGAGCCCGGAGAUGGAUUCUGAGACACGAAUCCAGGCCCUACGGGGCGCAGCAGGCGCGAAAACUUUACAAUGCGGGAAACCGUGAUAAGGGAACUCCGAGUGCCCGUAAAAUCGGGCUGUCCAUCUGUGUAAAAAACAGGUGAAGAAAGGGCCGGGCAAGACCGGUGCCAGCCGCCGCGGUAAUACCGGCGGCUCGAGUGGUGGCCACUAUUACUGGGCUUAAAGCGUUCGUAGCUGGUCUGUUAAGUCUCUGGGGAAAUCUACUGGCUUAACCAAUAGGCGUCUCAGGGAUACUGGCAGACUAGGGACCGGGAGAGGUGAGAGGUACUCCAGGGGUAGGAGUGAAAUCCUGUAAUCCUUGGGGGACCACCUGUGGCGAAGG